UGAUCCCCAGUGGGGAGCUUGCAGGCGGCAGCCAAUCAAUGAUUCUCUCUCAUCAUGAAUGUUUCUAUCUCUCUCUCCCUCUUCCAUCUUCUCUGAAAUUAAUAAAAAAAUAUUUUAAAAAUUAAAUUUAAUUUAAAAUAAAAUUUAAAAAAAAGAGUAUUAAGUAAUGCCAACAUUUGCUCCUCAUCAAAAAGGGGUUUGUUUAGUCGGGAGGCUAGAGAGUUUAUAGGAUUUUUGAGCAGACACUGGAAUCAAAUUUAGGUUUGACUAUACUUAAUGCUUCACACUAAUUUGUGACUUUGGGUAAGUUACUUAAAAUCUGUACCUUAGAGUUCUCAAAAUGAAAUAGGGAUAUGAAUGAACAGUGCCUGGUACAUGGUAAAUGACCAAAACAGCAGUACUUUAGGACUAGUCUAGAGCUUAAGAAGGAGGCAGGGUUAACAUUUUAUAUCUUGUAACUAUCUAUACGUUCUUGCUAUUUAAUGGUGAUAGCAAAAUCAUAAUAUGUGAAAAGGGCAGCAACUUAGGCCAUUUGUUUAUUUAAAGUUUUUUUUUAAUUGAUUUUUAGAGGAAGUGGGAGUGGGGCGACAUCUGUCCACUGCCUCCUGCAUGCUGUCUACCAGGGGUUGAGCUGGCAACCUUUUGGUGCACCAGAUAAUACCCAGUCAACUGAACCAAACAGGCCAAGGGGCAACAUAGGCUAUUUAAAGCAGGGUGAUUUCCCCUUAGAAAUUAGAUAACCUUAUUUAUAAUUUUGGCAAAUUCUGCUUUUGGUUAAUGAAAAAAUUCCGGAAUUUGCUAAUUUGUCAGUCCUAGGAAAUGGAAUGUGUCCUUAGAAUUGAGGUACAAUCAUAUCUUAGAGCUUUACUUGGUGUGGGCAAGAAUUCAUUCUUACAGAUUAUUCUGAUUGUUUACUGUAAAGUUCCAUUCCAUUUGGAGGUCCUUUUGUAUAAUAUCUUCUAUAUAAGAACAACUUAAAAGACUGAAUACUUUUUUUUUUUUUGCUGUAAAUACCAAGUGAACUAUGUGUUUUUUUAUGUAAUCCUAAGAAAUUAUAAGGAAAAAAUUAAUUCCUAAAAUCUAGUGUGAAAUUACACUUUAAUUUACCGAGUACCUUUUAAAAACAUUGAGUUUCAGAUUUAUUUUUUUAUAUAUUCAGAAACUCUUGGGGAAUUAUUUGAAGUACAUAAAAAAAAUAAGUUGGCUGUUAGAGAAUUGCAUGUUAAUUCACUAUGGAUAUGAUUUCCCUUUUUUUUGACUCAUAAAAUGUCUCUUGAGUUUGUUGAGCCAAUACUAGAAAAAGAAAACUUUAUUUUUACCUCAGGACUUCCAAAUUAUGCACAAACUUAGAAACUCCUUUCAGGUUCUACACAUUUCUGAAUAGUCAGGACAGCAUAAACUAAAACUAAACAUAUAAAGACUACAUAUUUAGCAACUCAUCCUCUGGCCUGUGAGACCUUAAAAAAAUUUCUUUUGGGGUUUAUUUGUGUGCUCUUUUAAAAUUAAUUUAUUCAGUUAUCCAUAACCAUUUAACUCAUUCUUUUGACUAAAAUAUUCUGUCAAACUAUGUUGUAUUUUUCUGGAAGUUAGAAUUCUUGUUUACUGAUAACCUUUGGUCAUUGUUUUGAGACUUUAAAAAUGAAGGUAAUUAUCCAAUAGUAUACAAACUUAAAAGCAACUUCAGUAUCAAGAAAGUGUCUUUCAAAUUAAAAAAAAAAUUAAA
Myotis daubentonii (Daubenton's bat) is the source of this 1723-nucleotide long non-coding RNA. RefSeq lists it as uncharacterized. Lineage: Eukaryota; Metazoa; Chordata; Mammalia; Chiroptera; Vespertilionidae. The record is from RefSeq and is a predicted model, not a curated record. The transcript has 2 exons.